ACGACCUUACUUGAACAGCAUCUGUUCUAUAGGUUCGGACCACUCUAACAUUGAGUAUUGUCUAAGGAGACAGGAAACUAAGUCUGGUGUAUGAGGCGUGGUUGUGAGACGCAGAGCAUGAUUAACAGUGCCCAUGGCUAUUUGGGGACCUUGGAUUAGUAGAGGAUCGUUCUCAACUCUGCUUGCCAGGCUUGAGAUGGUCUCAUAGCUGUCUGACAGACU
This 222-nucleotide small nucleolar RNA is filed under the name Nicotiana sylvestris (wood tobacco). RNAcentral describes it as "Plant small nucleolar RNA U3". It matches the Rfam family "Plant small nucleolar RNA U3". Rfam says of the family: Small nucleolar RNAs (snoRNAs) are involved in the processing and modification of rRNA in the nucleolus. There are two main classes of snoRNAs: the box C/D class, and the box H/ACA class. The record is from Rfam by way of RNAcentral. Lineage: Eukaryota; Viridiplantae; Streptophyta; Magnoliopsida; Solanales; Solanaceae. RNAcentral also lists the same sequence under 1 other name.